This 249-nucleotide ribosomal RNA is filed under the name uncultured bacterium. RNAcentral describes it as "partial 16S ribosomal RNA". It matches the Rfam family "Bacterial small subunit ribosomal RNA", at positions 526 to 779 of the family's 1533-position model. The record is from RNAcentral.
CGUAGGUGGCGAGCGUUGUCCGGAAUGACUGGGCGUAAAGGCGUGUAGGCGAUCCUGUAAGUCUGGGUGAAACCGGCGGCUCAACCGCCGGCCUGCCCUGGAAACUGCGGGCUAGAGUGGGCUAGAGGGCAGCGGAAUUCCCGGUGUAGCGGUGAAAUGCGUAGAGAUCGGGAGGAACACCAGUGGCGAAGGCGGCUGCCUGGGGCCUAACUGACGCUGAGGCGCGAAAGCUGGGGAGCAAACAGGAUU